GACGGAGGAUGCAAGCGUUAUCCGGAAUGAUUGGGCGUAAAGCGUCCGCAGGUGGCAGUUCAAGUCUGCUGUCAAAGACCGGGGCUUAACUUCGGAAAGGCAGUGGAAACUGAACAGCUAGAGUAUGGUAGGGGCAGAGGGAAUUCCUGGUGCAGCGGUGAAAUGCGUAGAGAUCAGGAAGAACAUCGGUGGCGAAGGCGCUCUGCUGGACCAUAACUGACACUCAGGGACGAAAGCUAGGGGAGCGAAUGGG
Molecule: ribosomal RNA, 253 nt
Filed under: uncultured bacterium
Lineage: Bacteria
Description: partial 16S ribosomal RNA
Rfam family: Bacterial small subunit ribosomal RNA
Source: RNAcentral